UACGUAGGAGGCUAGCGUUAUCCGGAAUUACUGGGCGUAAAGGGUGCGUAGGUGGUUUCUUAAGUCAGAGGUGAAAGGCUACGGCUCAACCGUAGUAAGCCUUUGAAACUGGGAAACUUGAGUGCAGGAGAGGAGAGUGGAAUUCCUAGUGUAGCGGUGAAAUGCGUAGAUAUUAGGAGGAACACCAGUUGCGAAGGCGGCUCUCUGGACUGUAACUGACACUGAGACGCGAAAGCUAGGGUAGCAAACGGGAUUAGAUACCCCCGUAGUCCCUGAGCGGG
RNAcentral lists this ribosomal RNA (281 nucleotides) under uncultured prokaryote. Its description in RNAcentral is "partial 16S ribosomal RNA". It matches the Rfam family "Bacterial small subunit ribosomal RNA", at positions 524 to 803 of the family's 1533-position model. The record is from RNAcentral.